This 936-nucleotide long non-coding RNA is filed under the name Mus musculus (house mouse). RNAcentral describes it as "predicted gene 12339, transcript variant 2 (Gm12339)". The record is from RNAcentral. Lineage: Eukaryota; Metazoa; Chordata; Mammalia; Rodentia; Muridae.
GCCGAAUGGGGCCGGGACACACGUCGAUGGCCAUAUGCUCCUGGAUGCUGAUGGUCGCCUUCUCCCCGCGCCGCCGGAGGGUCAUGCAGGCAGCGCCGCGGCGCGCGGCCCGGCCCGGCCCGGUGUGACCCCGGCCCGGGGGCAAGUCAGCGGGUCCCGCGGGGCGCUGCGGGGGCUGCGGUCAUCGCCAGCGUGGCCCCCGGACGGCCCUGACGCGGCUGCUGCCUGCUCGGCGGCGGCCGGUGCGAGUGAGUGCGGGGCCGGCAGCAGGGGGCGGGCCCAGCCCGCGUCACCCGGCAGCAACCAAGCGACUACCAGGUUGCUUGCUGUCUGAGAUGCUUCUGUGCUUCUGGAUUUUGACGGACAUUGUAGAUCACUCUCCACUCAUCACCAUGAAAAGUUCAGUGCCAAAUGAGAGAUGUGGACCAGGAGAACUUUCCUUUGUGAUGUGUGGAUGGAAGCUUGGGUCUGGUGCAUGCAAGGAAAAAAACAGCACACGACAUGAAGAGAGUCGGGUCACCUCCCGAAGCCCUUCCAAAGCUGCUGCCAGGCCUGUGAUCUUGAGCUACCUCUUCUGUGACAAGCCACCAGCAGGUGUACCCUCACCCUUCUGGCCCUGUGAAGUGUGGCCCCUACAGGGCAGAAGAAGCCAGACCCAAGGGGAAGGGCCGGGUCUGGAGCCCAGCUCUGGCCUGCACCCUGGGCCUCAGGCUAUGUGGCUCUAAGAUGCUGCUAUUGAAUAUCCAUCCACUCAGAACCUCCUGCCGCUUGUGUGAGACCAGGAAAUUUGCAAUGAAAACCAGAAACAGGAGCAGCGCAGAGCCACACAGAGCCCUCUACAGCAGCGGCACAAGCAGUGGCUGCCAGUCACAGAGGGGCGCACACCCAUCUCUGGAUAGUCACUACAGAUACCAAGUCACCCUGUUCAUUAGGACC